Molecule: ribosomal RNA, 253 nt
Filed under: uncultured bacterium
Lineage: Bacteria
Description: partial 16S ribosomal RNA
Rfam family: Bacterial small subunit ribosomal RNA
Source: RNAcentral
UACGUAGGGCGCAAGCGUUGUCCGGGAAUUAUUGGGCGUAAAGAGCUCGUAGGCGGCUUGUCACGUCGGGUGUGAAAGCCCGGGGCUUAACCCCGGGUCUGCAUUCGAUACGGGCUAGCUAGAGUGUGGUAGGGGAGAUCGAAUUCCUGGUGUAGCGGUGAAAUGCGCAGAUAUCAGGAGGAACACCGGUGGCGAAGGCGGAUCUCUGGGCCAUUACUGACGCUGAGGAGCGAAAGCGUGGGGAGCGAACAGG